UUCGGGAAGGCUGCCAGUAUGGGAAUCUUUUCAACAAUGGGGCGCCAAGCCUGAUCGAAGCAACGCCUGCGUGAGAGAAGAAAGGCUUUCGGGUCGUAAAGCACUGUUGUAUGGGAAGAAAUGCUAAAAUAGGGAAUGAUUUUAGUUUGACGGUACCAUACCAGAAAGGGACGGCUAAAUACGUGCCAGCAGCCGUGGUAAUACGUAUGUCCCGAGCGUUAUCCGGAUUUAUUGGGCGUAAAGCGAGCGCAGACGGUUGAUUAAGUCUGAUGUGACAGCCCGGAGCUCAACUCCGGAAUGGCAUUGGAAACUGGUUAACUUGAGUGUUGUAGAGGUAAGUGGAACUCCAUGUGUAGCGGUGGAAUGCGUAGAUAUAUGGAAGAACACCAGUGGUGAAGGCGGCUUACUGGACAACAACUGACGUUGAGGCUCGAAAGUGUGGGUAGCAAACAGGAUUAGAUACCCUGGUAGUCCACACCGUAAACGAUGAAUACUAGGUGUUAGGAGGUUUCCGCCUCUUAGUGCCGAAGCUAACGCAUUAAGUAUUCCGCCUGGGGAGUACGACCGCAAGGUUGAAACUCAAAGGAAUUGACGGGGACCCGCACAAGCGGUGGAGCAUGUGGUUUAAUUCGAAGCAACGCGAAGAACCUUACCAGGUCUUGACAUCCUUUGAAGCUUUUAGAGAUAGAAGUGUUCUCUUCGGAGACAAAGUGACAGGUGGUGCAUGGUCGUCGUCAGCUCGUGUCGUGAGAUGUUGGGUUAAGUCCCGCAACGAGCGCAACCCUUAUUGUUAGUUGCCAGCAUUCAGUUGGGCACUCUAGCGAGACUGCCGGUGACAAACCGGAGGAAGGCGGGGACGACGUCAGAUCAUCAUGCCCCUUAUGACCUGGGCUACACACGUGCUACAAUGGCGUAUACAACGAGUUGCCAACCUGCGAAGGUGAGCUAAUCUCUUAAAGUACGUCUCAGUUCGGACUGCAGUCUGCAACUCGACUGCACGAAGUCCGGAAUCGCUAGUAAUCGCGGAUCAGCACGCCGCCCCAAGGGCCCA
This 1051-nucleotide ribosomal RNA is filed under the name Leuconostoc holzapfelii. Its description in RNAcentral is "bacterial SSU rRNA". It matches the Rfam family "Bacterial small subunit ribosomal RNA", at positions 337 to 1374 of the family's 1533-position model. Lineage: Bacteria; Bacillati; Bacillota; Bacilli; Lactobacillales; Lactobacillaceae. The record is from RNAcentral.